UUUAUAGGUUCUCCCACUAUUUUAUACGAAUUGGUAGCCUCUACCUCCAAUUCAAAGAAUUAUCUUAAUUUCUUAGUAGGUACUAGAAUCCACAUAGACUGCAUACGAGCCCGAUUUUGACCGGCUCAUCCAUGUGCAUCUAUAGGUAGGUUUUUUAACUAAUUAUUUCAUCAAAUAAUUUUUAGUAAUUGAUUUAGCCCCAGAUAACUUUUCAGUUGACUUUGGUCUUCUCUACAAGCCCUGGUCAGGUCCAACUAUUAACAUGAUCAUACUUAAGAAUAUAACCACUAAAUGAUCAGACCCAAUUUUGACUGGCUGAUCUGACCACUUGCUAGAAAAACUCGACUUAGUCAUCAUAUUAUGAAUGAUAAUU
RNAcentral lists this long non-coding RNA (373 nucleotides) under Elaeis guineensis (African oil palm). RNAcentral describes it as "long non-coding RNA (EGUI_LNC028056)". Lineage: Eukaryota; Viridiplantae; Streptophyta; Magnoliopsida; Arecales; Arecaceae. The record is from RNAcentral.